GCAGAAUUCCGCGAAUCAUCGAGUCUUUGAACGCAACUUGCGCCCGAGGCUUGUCCGAGGGCAUUUCCGCUAGAGCGUCACC
Molecule: ribosomal RNA, 82 nt
Filed under: Sematophyllum homomallum
Lineage: Eukaryota; Viridiplantae; Streptophyta; Bryopsida; Hypnales; Sematophyllaceae
Description: partial 5.8S ribosomal RNA
Rfam family: 5.8S ribosomal RNA
About the family: 5.8S ribosomal RNA (5.8S rRNA) is a component of the large subunit of the eukaryotic ribosome. It is transcribed by RNA polymerase I as part of the 45S precursor that also contains 18S and 28S rRNA. Functionally, it is thought that 5.8S rRNA may be involved in ribosome translocation.
Source: RNAcentral